GACGAACGCUGGCGGCGUGCUUAACACAUGCAAGUCGAACGGAAAGGCCCUGCUUUUGUGGGGUGCUCGAGUGGCGAAAGGGUGAGUAACACGUGAGUAACCUGCCCUUGACUUUGGGAUAACUUCAGGAAACUGGGGCUAAUACCGGAUAGGAGCUCCUGCUGCAUGGUGGGGGUUGGAAAGUUUCGGCGGUUGGGGAUGGACUCGCGGCUUAUCAGCUUGUUGGUGGGGUAGUGGCUUACCAAGGCUUGGACGGGUAGCCGGCCUGAGAGGGUGACCGGCCACAUUGGGACUCAGGUAGGGGCAGGACGGCUACGGGAGGCAGCAGUGGGGAACUGUGCGCAAUGGGCGGCAGCCUUAUGCAGCAUCUUCGGGUGCGGGAUGACGGCCUUCGGGUUGUAAACCGCUUUCGCCUGUAACGUAGCGUGAGUGACGGUAAUGGAUAAGGAAGCACCGGCUAACUACGUG
Molecule: ribosomal RNA, 468 nt
Filed under: uncultured bacterium
Lineage: Bacteria
Description: partial 16S ribosomal RNA
Rfam family: Bacterial small subunit ribosomal RNA
Source: RNAcentral